RNAcentral lists this ribosomal RNA (494 nucleotides) under uncultured bacterium. RNAcentral's name for it is "bacterial SSU rRNA". It matches the Rfam family "Bacterial small subunit ribosomal RNA", at positions 28 to 511 of the family's 1533-position model. The record is from RNAcentral.
GACGAACGCUGGCGGUGUGCCUCACACAUGCAAGUCGAGCGGAUUUACUUAGUAGCUUGCUAUUAAGUAAGUUAGCGGCGGACGGGUGAGUAAUGCGUAGGAAUCUACCCUAAGGUAGGGGAUAACGGGCUGAAAGGUCCGCUAAUACCCCAUAUGCGGGUUCUCUUCGGAGGAUUCGUGAAAGGAGCAAUUCGCCUUUGGAUGAGCCUGCGUCUGAUUAGCUAGUUGGUAGGGUAAAAGCCUACCAAGGCUACGAUCGGUAGUUGGUCUGAGAGGACGACCAGCCACACUGGGACUGAGACACGGCCCAGACUCCUACGGGAGGCAGCAGUGGGGAAUAUUGGACAAUGGGGGAAACCCUGAUCCAGCGACGCCGCGUGUGUGAAGAAGGCCUGCGGGUUGUAAAGCACUUUUAGUGGGGAUGAAAAGCACCAGGCUAAUACCCGGGUGUCUUGACCUAACCCAAAGAAAAGCACCGGCUAACUCUGUGCCAG